CGGAGGAUGCGUGGUGGUCGACGGCAGCUGGCCGAGCCGUGACUCAGGACGACAUUCCUCUUCCUGAUCCGUGGAUCAGAAAAGUUACUUUCCGUUAUCUGCAUCGACGGAAUGGCUGGUAAGUGGUGGGUUGGUGUGGUACAGUCGUCUUCUACCUCACCCUUCUGGAUUUUGCAAGUAGAGAGAGAGCGCCGAGGCUGUGGAGAAGCGAUUCAAUCAGGGGGGCAAGAUCUGCCAGUGGGCAUGGAGUUCCUUAUGCAACCGAUUAAAAGAUUUAUGGUGCCUGAGGAGGUUAAUGAUUGUGAAAUCCCUAUGGAGCCCCUCCAUUAUCCUGUGGCGGCACGGAGCAGAAUCAACCCCCAUUCGAUGGGAAGAUUUGUGCGGUAGAGGCAGCCGCUAGAGAUCAGAGGGAGGAUUCCCCACAGGCCUCGGCACAGUCGGCAGGAAAGAUGGAUCCAAGAACUUCAGGAUGGGCACACAGGAGUUUUUUGGGUCGAUGGUGAAUGUUCCCUUCACAAAUGGGGCGCGGAAGAAUCUAUGUGGGAAAAUUAGCCAUGAGCAAAGCAGAGGACGAUGUACGGAAGACGAUGGAGGUUUUCGCGGAUGUCGGUUCAAAAGAUACACACUUCACCUAUCGCUAUGUUAACAAGGAGCAUGAUGUUCUUCCUCGCAUCAACCUCUUUGAUCAGGACAGUCUGUUAGAAGAAUGAUCAAUAUGGCUGCUGGCAUCGACAACGAUGUUACAUCAUACUCAAACUGCAAGUUACACGAUACUUUUAUCUAAAGCCUUAGACAACCGCGAGACGAGCUCACAGGGCGAAAGUAUAUCUUCUGCCCUGGUUUCCAGACUAACCCAUGCAACAGUGGUGUUGUUCCAUACCGACCUGAAGCAAGUGUCUCUGAAUUUUGAUACAUUCUUCAGUUCUGCAUCUGGUCAAGAACUAUCCAGGGAAUUCCCUUGUCCACAAAGUUCGUAGGUUUAUACGAAUAUCAGGUGUUGCUCCAAAGGAACAGCUAGCCGGGAACACCCUUAUGGAUCAUGAGUUGAUGCCCAUAAUCCUAUGCCGCUACUCCCAGAUUGACAUGGAAUCAGACCUAGAACCCCCUACAUCUCAUCGAGGUACCCAAUUGAACCUUUAUUCUCGGUGAGGGAGCACCUACAUAAUAUGGUAUUGCGAGUCUGUACUCAUCAGCCUGAUGAUAGGACACCGUGUUUCUGAUUGCGGGCACACCUGUACUCUUUAUCUGGGCGGUUGAGGUGCAUAUUGGGAUGUGGUGCAUUAAAUGCUGGCAUUAGAUAGAAGUGCUUCCGUAAAUAAGGAAAUGAAAGAAUACACCUGGGUUGUGGGCCAGGAUGUAAACGAGGAGACGACGUCGGCGAAGGGUUGCAGAAUUAGUCAAGUUAAAGCAUGUAGGGUUGUGGAAUUAGUCAAACCAAAUUGGAAAUCUGACAAUUAGUGUGAGUGUUGUUACCCUGAACCCAUCUUAAAGGACUUAAUUUUGUUUGGAAAGAUACUAACAACCAGCAUUUGAGAGUAUAUAUUCACUAAUUCAGAAAUAUCACUAUUGUUGCCUCUGCUUUAUUUUUAUUUUACUGCGGUAGACAACCAAAUUGGAAAUCAACCCAUUAGCGUGAGUGUUUUUCUUAUACUGAACCCAUCUUAAGGGACUUAAUUUUGUUUGUAAAGAUGCCAACACCCAGCAGUUCGUAGAAUAUAUGCACUUAUUCAGAAAUUUCAUUGUUGCAACUGCUUUAUUUGGGGAGAUACAAAUUCAGUUGAAGGAUCUGAUAUUAUACACAGUAGUGAUAAACUUCCGUUGGCUCUCCCAGGAUCACAGAAUACCACAAAACCAACACCAACAUAUAAACUCUUGCUGGAGAAUUUUUUGGUGACAAUGCUCGAGUAAUUACUAAUUAGGAAUGGUCGAAUAGAUCAACCGAUUUUCAUGUUUGGUACAAGAUUUUAACAUGGUGUUUUGUGGAAUAGAACGGUGUGUUUAAAUACAACAAAUAGAGUAUCUUGAAUUAUCAAUGUGUGAUUUUAGUGCAAAGAGGUGACAUUCUGUGUUUAAUGUGACCUGAAAAUGUGCCAAUCAAACAUGGAUUACUAAACAGUUGGACAAAUUAGUUGCUUAAAUUUGCUUUAAUUAUAUUUCUUUUUCUUUUUGAAGAGCUCAGUAACACUUGCUACAAAACCAUCAGUUCCUAUCAAAGUGGCACAUGGUGUGAUGGGAGAUCCUAUAUAUGACAUAUGCAUAUUGAGUACAUUUUCGAGAACCAUGCCAGCUUACUUAGCAAGGUCUGAAAAUAAGAUAAUGAUCCAAAGUAAGUUAACACCAGGCGAACAAAUUAAAUAUUAUUAUAGAACUCUGACCAAUUUUUUUCUCUCUUAAUGAGUGAAAGGAAUGAAUAUUAUCUAGCUAGCACAAUGUUACCAUAGCAGGAGGCACUUGUUGAGUCAGAGCACUAUGACUGUAUAGGGGAGGCCCAACUGGCAACGGGCAACGGGAUGAGACGUCAUGGUUGCACAAACAGAAGUCCAGGAGGAAGGACAGCCGCUGCAAUGACGGCAGAGAAGCAGCGAUAAGGAAAGGAGUUGGGCCACAAGCAUGAUAGAUCGUCAGACGAGUGGUAGUGUCCUGCGACUAGUGCACAGUUCCGGAAGAGGUGGUGAAAAGGGAGAGAGAGGGAGGAAUUUAUCUUUCUGGAUCCAUGUGAGAGGCACUGGAGGCCGGGAUGGUAAUUCAAAACAAUUGAAACCGGAACACAAAUUAGCGAGGACAAUUUAUUCAGUUUUCAGUAAACUAAUCUACUAAAAUGAUUAAAAUCUAUCACCAUAAUCAAGUACUGAAACUAUGUUUGCUGCCUUUGGUCAGUUCAAAAACUUAUUAGUUCAGCACUUCAGGUAAAUGGCCAUUUACUUUGAUGUGAUAAAGAGAUAUAAACACAAUUAUACUGUUCAGCAAUUAUACUCUCAAUAGGUUGAGUUUGAUUAUUUUGAGUAGGUUGGUUAUUGUUCGAUUUGAAGGGGACCAUUCGCAUCUAUACAGCGUCCAUCCUGAUUACGGUGCUUGAGGAGAAAAUAGUUCCAUAACAGCAGAGGGUAAAAUACUACUUGCAGUGGGAAUUUCUAUGGGAAUUUGUUUUCGUAGCUGAUGCUGUCAGUGCCUAUGUUGGAUGGCUGGUGACUUUACGUCAUCGACAUGGAAGAAAUGACCAUGUUAGUGAUGGACCCAUGCGAGACAUCUGAGCCUAUUGAGGAGAUGUGAUAUAAGCACGAGAACAAUGCAAACCUCAUCCUAGAUGGCCUUCGGCAUUGCAUUCAUGCAAACAUUGCUGGGUGGCAUGUGUCUGCUAAGGGCUGGACGAUUAACUACAACGUGGGAUUGCAUUUUAAUUGUGAUAUGUAAGGCAUUUGAUGCAAUUCACAUUUGCCAGCCUUGUUCGACGACCCGGAUAUGGACUAAUACCUUUUUUUUCGCAGCAAGGACAGCUCUUCGUUCUGAAUUACAUCAGGGAAGUCGAUCGGCUUUACCUAGAAAAUCAUCUCACACCGGUAAGCGCGUGGGUAAGGGGAGAUGCACAUUUCUCAUGCCGCAGAAAGAUUUUGCUCUAUUAAAAAAAUGUGCAGAACCGGCUACACUAUCUCUGAAGCUCCAUUUGCCCAUGAGGUGAUUUUGAUGAGAGGAAACAGGGGUGUGCUGCCAGAUUUCAUGAUCUUGGAAGUGCUGUUCUGAGAAGUUAAGAGGUGAUAGCGAAGGUAGUUUGGUUCUUGAAGAUGCAAGUCUAGAUGACAACCCCUAGGUUAUAUUUUGACACUUCGGGCAGUUGUUAGCUGCCUUGCCAGAUGCUGCUGUGGUAGUGCCUGGAUUCCGAUGUUUGUUCAGCACUAGAUACACUCAUGUAAAGCAAGACCUAUAUUUUUGGUCUGGAUGUGACCUGUUUAACUUCACCCCACAUAGCUGGCGUGGAAGCUCUUGUGCUCACGGUGAACUUAAAUUAUGAGCGCUAAAUGUACGAAGACAUAUCUUUAGGGCCUCUUUGAUUCAAAGGAUUUUCAUAGGAUUUUUUAAGGAUUAGAAUCCUUAGGAAUUUUUCCUACGUUGGUCGUUUGAUUCGUAGGAUUGAAUACUAUAGGAUUCUAUCCUAAGGAUUCAUUUGUACUACAUUUCAUAAGAAUUCUAACAUCCACUUCAACCUCUUGGAA
Triticum dicoccoides is the source of this 4208-nucleotide long non-coding RNA. RefSeq lists it as uncharacterized. The record is from RefSeq and is a predicted model, not a curated record. Lineage: Eukaryota; Viridiplantae; Streptophyta; Magnoliopsida; Poales; Poaceae. The transcript has 5 exons.